CCUACGGGAGGCAGCAGUGAGGAAUAUUGGUCAAUGGACGCAAGUCUGAACCAGCCAUGCCGCGUGCAGGAAGACGGCCCUAUGAGUUGUAAACUGCUUUUGUACGAGGAUAAACGCAGAUACGUGUACCUGUCUGAAAGUAUCGUACGAAUAAGGAUCGGCUAACUCCGUGCCAGCAGCCGCGGUAAUACGGAGGAUUCAAGCGUUAUCCGGAUUUAUUGGGUUUAAAGGGUGCGUAGGCGGUCGGAUAAGUUAGAGGUGAAAUCCCGGGGCUCAACUUCGGAAUUGCCUCUGAUACUGUUCAGCUAGAGAGUAAUUGCGGUAGGCGGAAUGUAGGGUGUAGCGGUGAAAUGCUUAG
This 358-nucleotide ribosomal RNA is filed under the name uncultured bacterium. Its description in RNAcentral is "partial 16S ribosomal RNA". It matches the Rfam family "Bacterial small subunit ribosomal RNA", at positions 338 to 693 of the family's 1533-position model. The record is from RNAcentral.